This 26-nucleotide non-coding RNA is filed under the name Rattus norvegicus (Norway rat). Lineage: Eukaryota; Metazoa; Chordata; Mammalia; Rodentia; Muridae. The record is from RNAcentral.
UGAUUGGGACAUGACUUCAAAGGGAA